UCUUUUACGUCGGGAGCUUGAGAUGUCGUGUGCGUUUGCAGGGACAAUGGCGCCAUCAUUCUCUGUGUCGGCAAGCAGUUGGGAAGAGAAGCCGAGAGGAAGAAAAGAGGCCAAAACCACCAUCGAAAAUACAUAGCAGGAAGUAACUUCCUUUAAUCUUUCUAAAAGCAGAGAAUGCCACCCCAUUGAAAUGGCCAGCAGCCUGGAAAGAUCGUAGAGCCGGAAUGCAUGGCCGAUGAGGCUUUUCUGGCACAGGAGGACCAGAGAAGAGAAUCCAGUAUUGGAUGCUGGGGUGUUUUGAGAUGGGGUCUCUACAUAUGCCCAGCUAGCUGUCUUUGAACCCCUCUACCUGCACCCCGUGUGUCAGCAUGACUAGUCAGGACUCUUAUUGCUGGAUUUAACAUGGGGAUGAAAUUAAAGCUGGGUGAAGAGUAGCAGUGAUUGAGAGCCUUGUGAAGAACAGGACAUUCUAGUAUAUCCUACAGAGUUGAGGGUUGUUUGUGUAUAAGGCAGGGCUCAAAUGCAUUCUUAACUUUUCCAUUCUGUGAAAACCAGAUGAGGUGGUAUAUAGCUGUGUACUGACUGAACAAAAUUGAGUAUUUACACCCGUGCAAAGAAGUUAAACUUCCUGUAAAAUGGGUUAUAUGCCACUUUUCCUUAUCCCACAGUGGUUACUGUGUGAAUGCUGCAAUAAACGUACAGCUGGAAAUAGUUCUCCGA
Long non-coding RNA from Psammomys obesus (fat sand rat), 720 nucleotides. RefSeq lists it as uncharacterized. The record is from RefSeq and is a predicted model, not a curated record. The transcript has 5 exons. Lineage: Eukaryota; Metazoa; Chordata; Mammalia; Rodentia; Muridae.